AUGCAGGGUGGGGAGGGCCAAGGGCAGCUGCAAGGCUCCUACCUGUGCCGGGGGGCCUGGGCUGAGCCCAGCAGGGACCUUGCCAGGGGAAGCUCUGGAGAAGGAGGAGAUGUGUAUAAGAGACAGGUCCUACAGUCCUCAGGGCUCUACUCCCUCAGCAGCGUGGUGACCGUGCCCUCCAGCAGCUUGGGCACCCAGACCUACGUCUGCAACGUCGUUCAUGAGCCCAGCAACACCAGGGUGGACAAGAGAGUUGAGUUCACACCCUCAUGCGAUGACCCAAUUCCCCCAUGCCUACCGUGCCCAGCACCUGAACUCCUGGGGGGACCGUCUGUCUUCCUCUUCCCCCCAAAACCCAAGGACACCCUCAUGAUCUCCCGGACCCCUGAGGUCACAUGCGUGGUGGUAGACGUGAGCCAGGAAGACCCCGAGGUCCAGUUCAACUGGUACGUGGACGGCGUGGAGGUGCAUCAUGCCCAGACGAAGCCGCGGGAGAGGCAGUUCAACAGCACGUACCGCGUGGUCAGCGUCCUCACCGUCACGCACCACGACUGGCUGAACGGCAAGGAGUACACGUGCAAGGUCUCCAACAAAGGCCUCCCAGCCCCCAUCCAGAAAACCAUCUCCAAAGCCAAAGGGCAGCCCCGAGAGCCGCAGGUGUACACCCUGCCCCCGUCCCGGGAGGAGCUGACCAAGAACCAGGUCAGCCUGACCUGCCUGGUCACAGGCUUCUACCCCAGCGACAUUGCCGUGGAGUGGGAGAGCAGCGGGCAGCCGGAGAACACCUACAAGACCACCCCGCCCGUGCUGGACUCCGACGGCUCCUACUUCGUGAAGUGGAUCUUCUCCUCGGUGGUGGACCUGAAGCAGACCAUCGUCCCUGACUACAGGAACAUGAUCGGGCAGGGACCCUAG
Molecule: non-coding RNA, 915 nt
Organism: Mandrillus leucophaeus (drill)
Lineage: Eukaryota; Metazoa; Chordata; Mammalia; Primates; Cercopithecidae
Source: the annotation of a RefSeq genome assembly